This 56-nucleotide ribosomal RNA is filed under the name uncultured Cadophora. Its description in RNAcentral is "partial 28S ribosomal RNA". The record is from RNAcentral. Lineage: Eukaryota; Fungi; Ascomycota; Leotiomycetes; Helotiales.
UGACCUCGAUCAGUAGAGCCAGUCAUGGUACUUAAGCAUAUCAAUAAGCGGAGGAA